This is a small nucleolar RNA of Centropristis striata (black sea bass), 70 nucleotides long. RefSeq annotates it as small nucleolar RNA SNORD73. The transcript has a single exon. The record is from RefSeq and is a predicted model, not a curated record. NCBI's taxonomy places the organism in Eukaryota, Metazoa, Chordata, Actinopteri, Perciformes, Serranidae.
AACACAUGAUGACAACCGUUUCGGUCCCAUAUGAUCGCCUGAUUAUUGCCCAUUGAGAUCACCUGAUGUU